This 253-nucleotide ribosomal RNA is filed under the name uncultured bacterium. RNAcentral's name for it is "partial 16S ribosomal RNA". It matches the Rfam family "Bacterial small subunit ribosomal RNA", at positions 524 to 776 of the family's 1533-position model. The record is from RNAcentral.
UACAGAGGGGGCGAGCGUUGUUCGGAAUUACUGGGCGUAAAGGGCGCGUAGGCGGCCUGCUAAGUCAUACGUGAAAUCCCUCGGCUCAACCGGGGAACUGCGUGUGAUACUGGCGGGCUUGAAUCCGGGAGAGGAAUGCGGAAUUCCAGGUGUAGCGGUGAAAUGCGUAGAGAUCGGGAAGAACGCCGGCGGCGAAAGCGACUCUCUGGUCGGAAUCUGACGCUGAGGCACGAAAGCUAGGGGAGCAAACGGG